AUUGUUUAAUAACUUCUCAAAAUAUCCAGGAAACCUACUAAGCCUCUCAAUAUGCAGAGGACAAUAAUAAGCAGUCUCACUGAAAAUGUAACCUGCUAAGCCUCUAUCAGCAGAGGACAAAUUCAGAAGUCUAAUAAGAAAACCUGCUAAGUCUCUCAUUUAGCAGAGCACAUGUGCACAUGCCUGACAAGACUUCUCUCUCCUAGACAGAACAAUGAACAUACAGUAUAUAGGAGGUUGCCAGCACCAUUUCUAAAAAAAAAGGGGUAGACACAAAAAUCAAACAAUAUACAGAUGAUGAGACAGACCCUGAAACAUAAACAUAGUAUUCCUCUGUAUGCUAAAUAACUAGGUAAUAAAAUCGUAUUUCCCAGGCAUGUGUAACAACACCUUAUCGAGGUGGUUAGGUCCAGACCAUUUCCAGUGUCCCUAUUGCCACUCUAGGGAAUCAGCAGUCUAAUUAACCGGGAACCAAAUAAAUGUUCCGUGUUUCCGGCUGCGCUUCUUUGUGUCAGACUGACCAGCUAGCUGAGGACUCGAACACCCAACCUGACGGUAAUCCAUGUAUCCCUUUCCAAUGAAACGGAGUUUGUGCACCAAGAUUGGUGUCCUAGCCUACUUUGUUGAAGUUUGUGUAAUCCGGUGUAUGCAUCUUUGUGUGUUUGUGUGUGGGUGUGUAGGCAAAUUCGGGUGUUGGUGUGCGCUAGCGGUCGCAAAUACGGGGCAGGAGUGUUACGUUCAUGUGCGGUCGCACCACAACCUUCACAGACACCUUUAAAUCAAACUAUAGUCAAGUCAACUUUUAUUUGUAUAGUACAUUUUAUUUGUAUAGUACACAACAGGAGUUGUGCUAAAGUGCUUUACAGACAAGUUAAAUACAUUGAUAAAAAAAAAAAAGUAAUAAAGGAGAAAGGAAGGAAAGGAAAUGAACAAAUAAAACAAGUAAAAAAUAAUAUAAGAAGUAGAAAAAAUAAAGACAAAAUAAUGAAAUAUACUAGAAAUUCAACAGAAGUGCACAGUUUCAAGUGAUGUACUGUAUGAGUAAAGCAGUAAAAAAACAAUACAAAAUAAUAAAGAUGUGUAAGUUAGAGUUAAAAAGAAAAUAGAAAGAAAAUAAAUAAAUAAUACAACCAUAAGAAUGGAUAUGUAUAAAACACAACAAAUAAAAGAAGAGACUUGACCAAAACCUCAGACUGAACUGAACAACUCCUGAGACUAAAUAUGUGUUUAUGAUAUCCAGGACAUUUCUACCAACAACAUUAAACUCU
Molecule: long non-coding RNA, 1268 nt
Organism: Clupea harengus (Atlantic herring)
Lineage: Eukaryota; Metazoa; Chordata; Actinopteri; Clupeiformes; Clupeidae
Source: Ensembl